RNAcentral lists this ribosomal RNA (218 nucleotides) under uncultured bacterium. RNAcentral describes it as "partial 16S ribosomal RNA". It matches the Rfam family "Bacterial small subunit ribosomal RNA", at positions 113 to 334 of the family's 1533-position model. The record is from RNAcentral.
UAGCUUGGGAAUCUGGCUUAUGGAGGGGGAUAACUACGGGAAACUGUAGCUAAUACCGCGUAGUAUCGAGAGAUGAAAGUGCGGGACCGCAAGGCCGCAUGCCAUGAGAUGAGCCCAAGUGGGAUUAGGUAGUUGGUGGGGUAAAGGCCUACCAAGCCUGCGAUCUCUAGCUGGUCUGAGAGGAUGGCCAGCCACACUGGAACUGAGACACGGCCCAG